This 409-nucleotide ribosomal RNA is filed under the name uncultured soil bacterium. Its description in RNAcentral is "bacterial SSU rRNA". It matches the Rfam family "Bacterial small subunit ribosomal RNA", at positions 26 to 427 of the family's 1533-position model. The record is from RNAcentral.
AGAGUGAACGCUGGCGGCAGGCCUAAUACAUGCAAGUCGAACGGCAGCACAGCAGAGCUUGCUCUGUGGGUGGCGAGUGGCGGACGGGUGAGGAAUACAUGGGAAUCUGCCCAGUCGUGGGGGAUAACGUAUGGAAACGUACGCUAAUACCGCAUGCGCCCUUCGGGGGAAAGCCGGGGACCUUCGGGCCUGGCGCGAUUGGAUGAGCCCAUGUCGGAUUAGCUAGUUGGCGGGGUAAAGCCCACCAAGGCGACGAUCCGUAGCUGGUCUGAGAGGAUGAUCAGCCACACGUGGAACUGAGACACGGUCAGACUCCUACGGGAGCAGCAGUAGGGAAUAGUGGAACAAGUGGGACGACAAGCCUAGAUCCAGCCCUAGUGGCCGCGUAGUGUAGAAGGAACGGUCCGUU